Molecule: small nuclear RNA, 141 nt
Organism: Sapajus apella (tufted capuchin)
Lineage: Eukaryota; Metazoa; Chordata; Mammalia; Primates; Cebidae
Product: U4 spliceosomal RNA
Exons: 1
Source: RefSeq, a predicted model, not a curated record
AGCUUUGCACGGUGGCAGUAUCAUAGCCAAUGAGGUUUAUCCGAGGUGGGAUUAUUGCUAAUUGAAAACUUUUCCCAACACCCUGAAAUGACGACUUGAAAUACAGUUGGCACUGGCAAUUUUUGGCAGACUCUACAGGGA